UAGAGUUUUCUCCUCUGAAUACAUAUGUAGCGACAAGAUCAACAUUUGACAGUUGUAACGUUGACUCUACAAGCCGGACAACACGUGCUUGAGCAGAGUUUAUCUGCAUGUUAGUGCACAAAGUCUAUAAGGACACAUGCCAUAGGUUAGUGAAAAACAUGAGGAUUGAUAUUAGUCACAACGAUAUCAACCCCAUACCAGAGAUAGAACCUGCCUCUUCCACAAAAUGCUAUCAACUUCCAGCUUCUUUGUGCACUCUUCUACGCUGUUGACAAGAUCCUCAACAAACAGCAAGUCUUGUUUGGCUUGCUGACAUUCUUGUCUCACAAGUCCUUGACAAGCUAAAAGUAGUUGUUCUGCAAUGGCAAUUGGAGUUUCAAGCUUCAGCUUCAUUCUCUCAAUUCCAGUACUUGUG
Molecule: long non-coding RNA, 415 nt
Filed under: Solanum tuberosum (potato)
Lineage: Eukaryota; Viridiplantae; Streptophyta; Magnoliopsida; Solanales; Solanaceae
Description: long non-coding RNA (STUB_LNC009245)
Source: RNAcentral